AGAGUUUGAUCAUGGCUCAGGACGAACGCUGGCGGCGUGCUUAACACAUGCAAGUCGAGCGAUGAAGCACCUUCGGGUGUGAAUUAGCGGCGAACGGGUGAGGAACACGUGAGAAAUCUGCCUUCAACUCUGGGAUAACUCCGUGAAAACGGGGCUAAUACCGGAUAUGAAACCUGCGGGCAUCCGCGGGUUUGGAAAGUUUUUCGGUUGAAGAUGAUCUCGCGGCCUAUCAGCUUGUUGGUGAGGUAAUGGCUCACCAAGGCGACGACGGGUAGCCGGCCUGAGAGGGCGACCGGCCACACUGGGACUGAGACACGGCCCAGACUCCUACGGGAGGCAGCAGUGGGGAAUAUUGGGCAAUGGAGGAAACUCUGACCCAGCGACGCCGCGUGCGGGAUGAAGGCCUUCGGGUUGUAAACCGCUUUCAGCAGGGAAGAAGCGAAAGUGACGGUACCUGCAGAAGAAGCACCGGCUAACUAUGUGCCAUCAGCCGCGGUAAUACAUAGGUGCAAGCGUUGUCCGGAUUAUUGGGCGUAAAGAGCUCGUAGGUGGUUCGUCACGUCGGAUGUNAACUCUGGGGCUUAACCCA
Molecule: ribosomal RNA, 589 nt
Filed under: uncultured bacterium
Lineage: Bacteria
Description: bacterial SSU rRNA
Rfam family: Bacterial small subunit ribosomal RNA
Source: RNAcentral